AUACGGAGGGUCCGAGCGUUAAUCGGAAUUACUGGGCGUAAAGCGCGCGUAGGCGGCUAUAUAAGUCAGAUGUGAAAUCCCUGGGCUCAACCUAGGAACUGCAUUUGAAGCUGUAUGGCUAGAGUAUGGUAGAGGUGAGUGGAAUUUCAGGUGUAGCGGUGAAAUGCGUAGAGAUCUGAAGGAACAUCAGUGGCGAAGGCGACUCACUGGGCCAUUACUGACGCUGAGGUGCGAAAGCGUGGGUAGCAAACAGGAGUAGAAACCCUAGUAGUCC
RNAcentral lists this ribosomal RNA (274 nucleotides) under uncultured bacterium. Its description in RNAcentral is "partial 16S ribosomal RNA". It matches the Rfam family "Bacterial small subunit ribosomal RNA", at positions 523 to 796 of the family's 1533-position model. The record is from RNAcentral.